CACGGGGGUUGCGAGCGUUGUCCGGAAUUACUAGGCGUAAAGGGCAGGCAGGCGGAUCUAUAAGUUUUUUGUUUAAGGCGACAGCUUAACUGUCGUACGGCAGGAGAUACUGUAGAUCUGGAAUGCGGUUGGGGAAGACAGAAUUCCUGGUGUAGCGGUGGAAUGCGCAGAGAUCAGGAGGAAUACCGAAGGCGAAGGCAGUCUUCCAAGCCGUAAUUGACGCUGAACUGCGAAGGUGUGGGUAUCAAAC
RNAcentral lists this ribosomal RNA (250 nucleotides) under uncultured bacterium. RNAcentral describes it as "partial 16S ribosomal RNA". It matches the Rfam family "Bacterial small subunit ribosomal RNA", at positions 524 to 773 of the family's 1533-position model. The record is from RNAcentral.